AGAGUUUGAUCCUGGCUCAGGAUGAACGCUGGCGGCGUGCUUAACACAUGCAAGUCGAACGGGAAUUACUUUAUUGAAACUUCGGUCGAUAUGAUUUAAUUCUAGUGGCGGACGGGUGAGUAACGCGUGGGUAACCUGCCUUAUACAGGGGGAUAACAGUCAGAAAUGACUGCUAAUACCGCAUAAGCGCACAGAGCUGCAUGGCUCGGUGUGAAAAACUCCGGUGGUAUAAGAUGGACCCGCGUUGGAUUAGCUGGUUGGUGAGGUAACGGCCCACCAAGGCGACGAUCCAUAGCCGGCCUGAGAGGGUGAACGGCCACAUUGGGACUGAGACACGGCCCAGACUCCUACGGGAGGCAGCAGUGGGGAAUAUUGCACAAUGGGGGAAACCCUGAUGCAGCGACGCCGCGUGAAGGAAGAAGUAUCUCGGUAUGUAAACUUCUAUCAGCAGGGAAGAAUUAGGACGGUACCUGACUAAGAAGCUCCGGCUAACUACGUGCCAGCAGCCGCGGU
Molecule: ribosomal RNA, 513 nt
Filed under: uncultured Ruminococcus sp.
Lineage: Bacteria; Bacillati; Bacillota; Clostridia; Eubacteriales; Oscillospiraceae
Description: bacterial SSU rRNA
Rfam family: Bacterial small subunit ribosomal RNA
Source: RNAcentral